This 58-nucleotide transfer RNA is filed under the name Stylodipus telum (thick-tailed three-toed jerboa). RNAcentral's name for it is "tRNA-Ser". The record is from RNAcentral. Lineage: Eukaryota; Metazoa; Chordata; Mammalia; Rodentia; Dipodidae.
GAGAGAGAAGACAAGAACUGCUAAUUCAUGCCACCAUGAUUGAACCCAUGGCUCCCUC